GAUGAAGAACGUAGCGAAAUGCGAUAAGUAAUGUGAAUUGCAGAAUUCAGUGAAUCAUCGAAUCUUUGAACGCACAUUGCGCCCGCCAGUAUUCUGGCGGGCAUGCCUGUCCGAGCGUCAUUUCAACCCUCGAACCCCUCCGGGGGGUCGGCGUUGGGGAUCGGCCCUUUACGGGGCCGGCCCCGAAAUACAGUGGCGGUCUCGCCGCAGCCUCUCCUGCGCAGUAGUUUGCACACUCGCAUCGGGAGCGCGGCGCGUCCACAGCCGUUAAACACCCCAAACUUCUGAAAUGUUGACCUCGGAUCAGGUAGGAAUACCCGCUUGACUUAAGCAUAUCAAUAAGCGGAGGA
This 350-nucleotide unclassified non-coding RNA is filed under the name soil metagenome. RNAcentral describes it as "partial contains 5.8S ribosomal RNA, internal transcribed spacer 2, and large subunit ribosomal RNA". The stretch from base 1 to 120 matches the Rfam family "5.8S ribosomal RNA", at positions 35 to 154 of the family's 154-position model. The record is from RNAcentral.